This is a non-coding RNA of Armillaria mellea, 122 nucleotides long. The record is from the annotation of a GenBank genome assembly. Lineage: Eukaryota; Fungi; Basidiomycota; Agaricomycetes; Agaricales; Physalacriaceae.
GGCAAGGUGGCUGAGUGGUUAAGGUGUGUGACUCAAGUAUUCUGGUUGAUUCUAGAAACCUUGACUCAGUAAGGAUUUCUCAUUAUGGUAUUGUAGUGUGGGGUCAAGUUCCAUCCUUGUCA